RNAcentral lists this transfer-messenger RNA (353 nucleotides) under Eubacterium sp. It matches the Rfam family "transfer-messenger RNA". From Rfam's summary of the family: Bacterial tmRNA, also known as 10Sa RNA or SsrA, is named for its dual tRNA and mRNA-like properties. Its role is to liberate the mRNA from a stalled ribosome. To accomplish this part of the tmRNA is used as a reading frame that ends in a translation stop signal. RNAcentral also lists the same sequence under 1 other name. The record is from RNAcentral. Lineage: Bacteria; Bacillati; Bacillota; Clostridia; Eubacteriales; Eubacteriaceae.
GGGGAUGAAAGGAUUUCGACAGGGUUGUUGAGCCUUGGUCAGCGAGUAGCGGAGUUGCACCGCUUUAAAAGUAACACUUUAAAAUUAACUGACAAUAAUAAAUCAGUAGCUCUUGCUGCUUAAUUAGCGGCUUGCGUUCUCUUACAGAGUGCCACGGCUGUAUGCAGAGCGUCGACUUAGUGGCGAACAUGAAUGAAGGAUUAUCGCGGCCUUCAUCAGGUAACAGCGGUUACCGUAAGCUAAAGGCUGUUUGCCGCCGUUAGCUGAGGGGAUUACCUAAAAGACAAACUACACUCGUAGAGCCCUUGGUAAGAUGAUUUUGGACGUGGUUUCGAUUACCACCAUCUCCACCA